RNAcentral lists this ribosomal RNA (860 nucleotides) under uncultured bacterium. Its description in RNAcentral is "bacterial SSU rRNA". It matches the Rfam family "Bacterial small subunit ribosomal RNA", at positions 324 to 1188 of the family's 1533-position model. The record is from RNAcentral.
ACACGGCCCAAACUCCUACGGGAGGCAGCAGUAGGGAAUCUUCCACAAUGGACGCAAGCUGGAUGGAGCAACGCCGCGCGAGUGAAGAAGGUUUUCGGAUCGUAAAGCUCUGUUGUUGGUGAAGAAGGAUAGAGGUAGUAACUGGCCUUUAUUUGACGGUAAUCAACCAGAAAGUCACGGCUAACUACGUGCCAGCAGCCGCGGUAAUACGUAGGUGGCAAGCGUUGUCCGGAUUUAUUGGGCGUAAAGCGAGCGCAGGCGGAAGAAUAAGUCUGAUGUGAAAGCCCUCGGCUUAACCGAGGAACUGCAUCGGAAACUGUUUUUCUUGAGUGCAGAAGAGGAGAGUGGAACUCCAUGUGUAGCGGUGGAAUGCGUAGAUAUAUGGAAGAACACCAGUGGCGAAGGCGGCUCUCUGGUCUGCAACUGACGCUGAGGCUCGAAAGCAUGUGUAGCGAACAGGAUUAGAUACCCUGGUAGUCCAUGCCGUAAACGAUGAGUGCUAAGUGUUGGGAGGUUUCCGCCUCUCAGUGCUGCAGCUAACGCAUUAAGCACUCCGCCUGGGGAGUACGACCGCAAGGUUGAAACUCAAAGGAAUUGACGGGAGGCCGCACAAGCGGUGAAGCAUGUGGAUUAAUUCGAAGCAACGCGAAGAACCUUACCAGGUCUUGACAUCUAGUGCCAUUUGUAGAGAUACAAAGUUUCCUGUCGGGGACGCUAAGACAGUGGAGCAUGGCUGUCGUCAGCUCGUGUCGAGAGAGGUGGGUUAGUCCCGAACGAGCGCAACCCUUGUUAUUAGGUGCAGCAUUAAGUGGGCACUCUAUGAGACUGGCGGCGACAAGCAGGGGGAGGCGUAAUGACAA